Molecule: ribosomal RNA, 2112 nt
Filed under: Betaeus harrimani
Lineage: Eukaryota; Metazoa; Arthropoda; Malacostraca; Decapoda; Alpheidae
Description: eukaryotic LSU rRNA
Rfam family: Eukaryotic large subunit ribosomal RNA
Source: RNAcentral
GGGCGACUGAAAUGGGACCAGCCCAGCGCAUAACCUCGCGGCCGGUGACGGCCGUCGAGGGGUGUUGCGUUUCGGUGGAUCCAUCCCGCCUGUGCUGCUUACCGCCUAAGUCAUUGCUUGAAAGCAGCCCCACGGAGGGUGAUAGGCCCGUGUGGCGGCGCCUGUAAAAAGGGUCCAGGCGGCGCGGGCGGAGGGAUCUUCACCGUAGAGUCGGGUUGCUUAGUACUGCAGCCCUAAGUAGGUGGUAAACUCCAUCUAAGGCUAAAUACAACCACGAGUCCGAUAGAUGACAAGUACCGUGAGGGAAAGCUGAAAAGAACUUUGAAGAGAGAGUUCAAAAGGACGUGAAACCACUAGAAGCAUAAACGGGUGGAACCGCGACGGUCGAACGAGGGGAUUCAGCUUGCGGGCCGUUGGCCCGGGGGGUGGCACAGUCGUAGAGAGGACCUGGCGUGAGCAAGCACGCCGUGGCUCCACUCCCCGGCCCGGGCCAGCCUGGCCCCGCAGGCUUACUUCUCCCUCUAGUAGCUUCGCCGCGACCCGCUGCCUGUGGGCCCCUAGGGCUGUUGGCUUGGAUUGGUAGCCGGGACUGCGGUCCCGGCGAAGACCGAGCCGGCUCCGACCGGGCCCCGGCGGCGGUCACUGCCAGGAGGCCGCGCUCUCGAGAGCGGCCUCUCGCGGCGUGUGCAAGGAUCGGUCAUCCACCCGACCCGUCUUGAAACACGGACCAAGGAGUCCAACAUGUGCGCGAGUCUAAGGGUUUGCCAAACCCGGAGGCGAAAUGAAAGUGAGUUGUACAUUGUGCGGCAGGCCGAUCCCCGGCCGGCUGCCUCUGCUUGGUUGAGGCCGGGCGGCGUGAGCUAGUUUCCGCUGCCCGACAAGCCUCCCGGUGGGGCGCUGGCGGCGGCUGCCGACGCUGAGGCUUCUUCUUCGGAGGAGGCUGAGGCGGCGGUAGCUUGUCUGGCGGGCCGGCUUCUGGCCGGUCUGCUGCGGGGCGCAGGCCGAGGACUUGCCAUCAGGCGGCGCGGGGGACGGGGCAGCUCUUUCGGGGGUUGUUCUUACCCUGAUGUCCGCCGGCAAGUACCUGAGAGCGCACCCGUUGGGACCCGAAAGAUGGUGAACUAUGCCUGGCGAGGAUGAAGCCAGAGGAAACUCUGGUGGAGGUCCGAAGCAGUUCUGACGUGCAAAUCGAUUGUCAGAGCUGGGUAUAGGGGCGAAAGACUAAUCGAACCAUCUAGUAGCUGGUUCCCUCCGAAGUUUCCCUCAGGAUAGCUGGCAUUCGGAGGAGAUGAGUUUCAUCCGGUAAAGCGAAUGAUUAGAGGCCUUGGGGGUGCAAUGCCCUCAACCUAUUCUCAAACUUUAAAUGGGUGAGAUGUGGAGCUUGCUUGAUCAGUGAAGCUCCAUGAAAGAAUCAGAGUGCCUAGUGGGCCACUUUUGGUAAGCAGAACUGGCGCUGUGGGAUGAACCAAACGCACGAGUUAAGGGGCCUAAACGAACGCUAAUAUAGACACUAAGAAAAGGUGUUGGUUGCUAUAGACAGCAGGGCGGUGGCCAUGGAAGUUGGAAUCCGCUAAGGAGUGUGUAACAACUCACCUGCCGAAGCAACUAGCCCUUAAAAUGGUAUGGCGCUCAAGCGUUCUCCCGAUACUCGGCCGCCGGGGCAGUAGGGCCCUUACACAUUAGGCCUCCAAGCCCCGGCGAGUAGGAGGGUCGCAGCGGUGUGCGUAGAAGGUGCCCGGCGUAGGCCGGCCUGGAGCCACCGCUGGUGCAGAUCUUGGUGGUAGUAGCAAAUAAUCAAGAGAGAGCCUCGUUGGCUGAUGUGGAGAAGGGUUCCAUGUCAACAUCAGUUGAACAUGGGUGAGUCAGGCCUAAGCCCAAGGAUAAACUUCCUGUGUCCCAGGUGUUCCGCAUGCUAUAAAAAGAAAGAGGCGACAAACGUCGUCCGGGUGGGGUGGGUGGCCUGUUGCUGUUGCUGCUGCUGCUGCUGCUGCUGCUGCUGCUGCUACUACUGCUGACGCGGUGGUGGUGGUGGUGGUGGUGGUGGCGGAGGCGGCGGCAGUGGUGGCAGAACCUCCUGUCUCACCCAGAUAGAUAAAUAUAUAAUAUAAGAUC